GACGAACGCUGGCGGCGUGCUUAACACAUGCAAGUCGAACGGAAAGGCCCCUUUGGGGGUCCUCGAGUGGCGAACGGGUGAGUAACACGUGAGUAACCUGCCCUUGACUUCGGGAUAACUUCAGGAAACUGGGGCUAAUACCGGAUAGGAAUCCUUGCUGCAUGGUGGGGGUUGGAAAGCUUCGGCGGUUUUGGAUGGACUCGCGGCUUAUCAGCUUGUUGGUGGGGUAGUGGCUUACCAAGGCUUUGACGGGUAGCCGGCCUGAGAGGGCGACCGGCCACAGUGGGACUGAGAUACGGCCCAGACGCCGACGGGAGGCAGCAGUGGGGAAUAUUGCACAAUGGGCGGAAGCCGGAUGCAGCAACGCCGCGUGCGGGAUGACGGCCUUCGGGUUGUAAACCGCUUUCAGCAGGGGCGAAGCUUGUGGUGACGGUACCUGCAGAAGAAGCACCGGCUAACUACGUG
This 465-nucleotide ribosomal RNA is filed under the name uncultured bacterium. Its description in RNAcentral is "partial 16S ribosomal RNA". It matches the Rfam family "Bacterial small subunit ribosomal RNA", at positions 28 to 507 of the family's 1533-position model. The record is from RNAcentral.